UGUGCGUAAUUUAAAUAAAAUAUCAAGCUGUGACCUUGACAAUAGGACUCCCUCACACACC
Molecule: transfer RNA, 61 nt
Filed under: Calliophis salitan
Lineage: Eukaryota; Metazoa; Chordata; Lepidosauria; Squamata; Elapidae
Description: tRNA-His
Source: RNAcentral